This is a non-coding RNA of Sus scrofa (pig), 1985 nucleotides long. NCBI's taxonomy places the organism in Eukaryota, Metazoa, Chordata, Mammalia, Artiodactyla, Suidae. The record is from RefSeq and is a predicted model, not a curated record.
GGGGGAGGUAGUGGGAGGAGCUGGCCUAGCCUGGAGGGACCUGGAGGGACUUAGCCAAUGUGGUCCAGGUCCCUGUAGUCACCCUGUGAGAGGCCAAGGCGGGGCCAGAGCUCUGCCUACCUACUGGUCCAGGCUGAUCUUAGGGAUGCAGCCCAGCCCAGCCUCUGGGAAGAGAGAGCCUUUAGAGGCUAACAGAGGAGCAAGUAUGGAGGCUGGCUUCUGCUCUGAUGGCUGGACCAAGGCUAGGGGCAGGUGACAGCAUGAGGUAGGGGUUGAGAUGCGUGUACCCACAUAGCUGUCAGACUUGUAAAAUCUCCACGAUGUCCAGCAGCCCGUGCCACUGCCCUGUGCCAUCUCCACACAUGGCCAUUAGGUUACCAACAUAUAGCCAUCACCCGCAUCAAGCAUGGAUCACCUCAGUCAGGUCACCAUCACACACCGAUGAGAGACAGGUCAGGAUCACAUCAGCACAUAUAUGCCACCAACACACAUGUUCCCUGCAUAUCUCCAUCAUAAUCAGUCAGAUGUAAGCAUUUGUUAUCAGUCACAACACUCUCCUCAUCACCAAAAACCUUGCAGGAAAUGGCCCAGGAAGCGAAUGUGCUAUCUUGACCCAACCUUCACUCUGUGGUACCCCACAGCUAUUAACACUUGCACAGGCACAACCCCACAUGCAUAUACUGCUAUACACACAGACACUUUCUCAGCAAUGUUCACACUCCAAUGGCGGGGCCUAGCAAGGCCAGCCCAUAGGGGCCUCCUGAGGGAGGAGAAAGAGGCAAGGGGAGAGGCAGGAACCUAGGAGAAGGGAGGAGGGUUUUACCUUCAGGCCCAGUUCUAAAAUCUAGGUUAAGAGGGCUCUGGAAUCUCCCACUGGACUUGAAUCCCCUGGAGCAAGUCAUAUAACCACUCCCUGCCUCAGUUCCCUCCUUCCUAAUGUGAGGAACAGAACCUAUACCAUAAGAGAAAUUGGGAGAAUUAAACAAGUUAUUUCACAUCAAGUGUUUGGACAAGCCUGCUCCCAUUGGGAGUGCACCACAGAUUCCCACUGUACCUACAGAUGUAAGCUGGGAUCAACAGAAGUGCUGCUGGCCAGCAGUUACUUACAGACCUGCUCAGGCAGGCUCACCCUUCUCUCCCGGGCCCUAGUGCUGGGAGGCACAGAGAGGGAAGGGGCGAGGGGAAGGGGCGAGGGGAAGGAGAAGAGGGUAGUCUCCGGGAAACAGAUGCUGAAGCACCAAAGUGUAGGCGAGAGAAGAGGCCAGGGCCAGUUCACAGGAGGUGAGGGGGCUGGAGCCUGGGCUGCCGCCGUUGCUCCUAGCCCGAGAGGGCCAGAGACGGAGGUUCGGCGCUCUUCGCGUCCCAGGCGGCCCCGUUGGCCUGGCCUCCGUCGGCCACGUCUGCAGCCCCCGCCUGUGACCCGCAAGGGAGGAGCUGGGGCGGGGAGGGCGGCCCGAUCGCGGGCGCCGGGGACCAGGAAAAUCGGGGCUGCACACACUGACUGAACGAAGGCUGGGGGGCGGCGGCGCAAAGUAAGAAAAGUUGGGCCCGCAUCGACGUGUGUACAUCCGGCGUCUGCCAGCACACCUGUUCUACUUGUCUGAAGACCCGCAGCAGGUUUCCACGAAGGACACCCUGAAGCUCUUCCUCCCUCCAGCCGUGCUUCAGCAGCUCCUCUACCAGUACUGGGGAUAAAGGAAUAGACACUCAGCUUGGCCCUUCUGGCCUGAUGGCCUGCCACCUAUGCCCUGGGGGCUCUGGUAGGACACGUGGUGAGUUCUGCUUCAGGGGUUAGGAAAGUGAGCUUACCUCUCUUGAUCUCUGGGUAGAACUUAUUUGGCUUUGACUUUCAGAGACGGAGAGUUAACCAGCCUUGGGUCUAAAGGUAAGUGAGGCCUGGGCUGGUAGCUUUGUUCAAGGUCAAGGAUCUUUGGCUGAAGCAUGCCUCGCCCUGGGUUUGAGGGCUGGGGUGGCUACUCACCAGA